GGGAUACUGGAGUGAUGGAGGUAGAUAUGUAUAGGGGUAAGGGGACAGGGAUACUGGAGUGAUGGAGGUAGAUAUGUAUAGGGGUAAGGGGACAGGGAUACUGGAGUGAUGGAGGUAGAUAUGUAUAGGGGUAAGGGGACAGGGAUACUGGAGUGAUGGAGGUAGAUAUGUAUAGGGGUAAGGGGACAGGGAUACUGGAGUGAUGGAGGUAGAUAUGUAUAGGGGUAAGGGGACAGGGAUACUGGAGUGAUGGAGGUAGAUAUGUAUAGGGGUAAGGGGACAGGG
Long non-coding RNA from Oncorhynchus keta (chum salmon), 285 nucleotides. RefSeq lists it as uncharacterized. The record is from RefSeq and is a predicted model, not a curated record. The transcript is spliced from 3 exons. NCBI's taxonomy places the organism in Eukaryota, Metazoa, Chordata, Actinopteri, Salmoniformes, Salmonidae.